GAUGAACGCUGGCGGCGUGCUUAACACAUGCAAGUCGAACGGAAAGGCCCAAGCUUGCUUGGGUACUCGAGUGGCGAACGGGUGAGUAACACGUGGGUGAUCUGCCCUGCACUUCGGGAUAAGCCUGGGAAACUGGGUCUAAUACCGGAUAGGACGAUGGUUUGGAUGCCAUUGUGGAAAGUUUUUUCGGUGUGGGAUGAGCUCGCGGCCUAUCAGCUUGUUGGUGGGGUAAUGGUCUACCAAGGCGUCGACGGGUAGCCGGCCUGAGAGGGUGUACGGCCACAUUGGGACUGAGAUACGGCCCAGACUCCUACGGGAGGCAGCAGUGGGGAAUAUUGCACAAUGGGCGCAAGCCUGAUGCAGCGACGCCGCGGGGGGGAUGACGGCCUUCGGGUUGUAAACUCCUGUCGCUAGGGACGAAGCGUUUUUGUGACGGUACCUGGAGAAGAAGCACCGGCUAACUACGUG
Molecule: ribosomal RNA, 468 nt
Filed under: uncultured bacterium
Lineage: Bacteria
Description: partial 16S ribosomal RNA
Rfam family: Bacterial small subunit ribosomal RNA
Source: RNAcentral